GGCCGGGCGGCGAUUUGCAGGUCCAGCCGGCGCCGGUUUCGCGCGGCGGCUCAACGUCCACGGAGCCCCAGGAAUACCCACCCGCUGCCCAGAUCGGCAGCCGCUGCUGCGGGGAGAAGCAGUAUCGUGCAGGGCGGGCACGCUGGUCUUGCUUACAGUUGGGCUUCGAUUUUAUAGGUUCAGAAAGUGUGUCUCAGAGGAGUUAGAGAAGACCGAUUAAUAGAUGACAGUGCUAAAGCCUGGAUCUCCUGAAUCCUGGUUCUGGGAUACAUGUGCAGAAUGUGCAGGUUUGUUAAUAGGCAUACGUGUGCCAUGGUGGUUUGCUGCCCCUUCAACCCGUCAUCUAGAUUUUAAGCCCCGCAUGCAUUAGAUGAAAGUGUCCUAAGUUAGAUUCCUGGGAAGAAAAUUCUGAGACACAUUCUGCAGGAUGAUUAUUAGGGCUCAUCCUUGGUUUCAACACCCAUAGAAGGAAGGGGGAAGAAGAAAUCGAACAGAGAGACAGAAGUCGAGAUGCAUUUCAGGCCAGGACUCUUGGCUGAACCCACAGGAGCUCUGGAGCUAGAAUGGCCCUUCAGAGUUGUCCUGAGUUGGUCUGAGAUGGCCAGUUCUUUAUAUUCCUGCAUGGGAUAGUCACUGGAUGUCCACCCCAGGAAGGGGUGUGGCCAAGACAGUCCCUAAAAUGCCCGCCAGCACUCCCUACACCUGGAGCGACAAGACCAACAUCACAGGGGGAAUGCACUGGGUGAUGGAUCACAGCGUUCAUCCCAGAAGAUGAGGAUACAGAAUUGGCUGACAACUACGUUCUAAAUGUCAGUGUUCUCCAAAAUUCAUAUGUUGAAACUUAAUUCCCAAUGUGAUGGCAUUAGGAAGUGGGGCCUUUGGGGGAGGGACUAUAGGUCAUGAGGGUGUAACCCUCAUCAAUGGGAUUAGUGUCCAGAGAGCUGCCUUGCCCUUCCACCAUGUGAGGACAUAGUGAGAAGGUGCCAUCUAUGAACUAGGAAGUGGGCGCUUACCACCAGACACCCACUCUUCUGGCAACUUGAUCUUGAAUUUCCCAGCCUCCAGAACUCUGAGAAAUCAAUUUCUGUUAAUUAUAAGCUACCCAGUCGAUAGCAUUUUGUUAAAGCUGCUGGAACUAAACUAAGACACUGACGCUUUCUGCGACAAAAAGAUAGAGUGAGUCUCUAUAGCAUACCAUGUAACAGAUGUUUUUGGAAAAAUAACCUCAUUUCAUAUGUUUCCUCAAGAUAAAAAGAAUGUCAUAACAACAAAUGAGAAAAUAGUUGCUUUAGAAAUAUUGCACCCUAUGGAGAGAGUAUUUUGGAUUUUGGUUUUUUGUUUUGUUUUUUAACUUUUGUUUUAGGUUUGGGGGUACAUAUGCAGGUUUGUUAUAUAGGUAAACUCAUGUCACAGGGGUUUGUUGUACAGAUAAUUUCCUCACCCAGGUACUAAGCCUAGUACCCAAUAGUUGCUUUUUCUCCUCCUCUCUCUCCUCCCACCCUCCACCCUCAAAUAGGCCCCAGUGUAUGUUGUUCUCUUCAUUAUGUUCAUGAAGUUGAGAGAGUGUUUUGAAAAAGAAUGUUGGAAAGCAUUUCCACUGUUAGAUGAUUUUAAGUCAAAAAGUUAUACAACAGUGUGACCUAUUUGCACACAAGCAUGGACACAGAAUUGUGUCAUAUGUUUAAAACUUUUCUAGAUCCUUUUGUGGUUCAUAAGCUUGAUGAUUGAGUUUUCGCGUCCACAUGUGAGAUGUGCCUCCCUUGAGCCUUGUCAUUGGCACAUUACCUGCCUGAUGUGAACAAUAAAAAUAAAAAAUAAAAAUUUGCUAAGCAGAGU
Long non-coding RNA from Homo sapiens (human), 1836 nucleotides. Ensembl annotates it as ELOVL2 antisense RNA 1. Its record names the gene ELOVL2-AS1. Lineage: Eukaryota; Metazoa; Chordata; Mammalia; Primates; Hominidae. The record is from Ensembl.